GAGUUUGAUCCUGGCUCAGAACGAACGCUGGCGGCGUGCCUAACACAUGCAAGUCGAACGUGAUCCAGAGCUUGCUCUGGUGAAAGUGGCGCACGGGUGAGUAACGCGUGGAUAACCUACCCUGGUAUCCGGGAUAACAUUCCGAAAGGGGUGCUAAUACCGGAUAAGCCCACGGGCUCUUUGGAGCUUGCGGGAAAAGGUGGCCUCUAUUUAUAAGCUACUGUAUCAGGAUGGGUCCGCGUACCAUUAGCUAGUUGGCGGUGUAACGGACCACCAAGGCGACGAUGGUUAGCUGGUCUGAGAGGAUGAUCAGCCACACUGGAACUGAGACACGGUCCAGACUCCUACGGGAGGCAGCAGUGGGGAAUUUUGCGCAAUGGGCGAAACCCUGACGCAGCAACGCCGCGUGAGUGAUGAAGGCCUUUGGGUCGUAAAGCUCUGUCAGAGGGGAAGAAAUGAUAUAGUGCUAAUACCACUUUAUCUUGACGCUACCCUCAAAGGAAGCACCGGCUCACUCCGUGCCAGCAGCCGCGGUAAUAC
RNAcentral lists this ribosomal RNA (540 nucleotides) under uncultured Geobacteraceae bacterium. Its description in RNAcentral is "bacterial SSU rRNA". It matches the Rfam family "Bacterial small subunit ribosomal RNA", at positions 9 to 526 of the family's 1533-position model. The record is from RNAcentral. Lineage: Bacteria; Pseudomonadati; Thermodesulfobacteriota; Desulfuromonadia; Geobacterales; Geobacteraceae.